AAUUAUAUGCCCAAGAUUGGGUUUCCACUCCUCCAAAACCCUCUUCUUCCCAAAAAGACCACGAUGAGGGCUUCCACACUGCCAACGAUGGGAAGUUUAGGGGGUAGUGUUCACACGACCACCACCAUCGCCACCCACAUGAAGAUAUAGGAUACAAAAAUACUACUCCCAAUCGGAUCAACAGAUGGAUUGCAGGCCGAGUUCAUGGAGAGCGCCAUGGCUGGGUCCACUUCGUUUUCCACUCCCGAAGGAGAGGUCAACAGCCUUAUGCAACAGGUAGCUGAUGAUUACAGCCUCGAGGUCUCGGUGGGUCAGCCGCAGCCAGGGGCACACGCUGUGCCUACCAAGGAGACUGAGAAGGUCCACGAAGACAAUCUCUCCAGGCGCCUUGCAGAGCUCAAGGCUAAAGGAAACUAGGUUGGCCUUCAAAAUAUCUGUAUAAUAGUGUGAUUCAUCUAUCAAGAAAUUUUUGGAUUUCCAACAAUCCAUGUCGGUACUGGACUAUGGGAAAUGAUGAAGAGGGAAAGUCGGCUAAAUCCGACAAAAUUUCUCUGCCUGCAACCCCGGUAAAAAGAAAAAAAAAAAAAGAACUCCACACUUCUGGACACCAUUAAAGUGAACAAACUUUCAUCUAAGCUACUUCAACAUGACGACAAUGCCACAGAGCAAUAACCUCAAAUACCAACUAAUACCUAAUAUCACAAGGGGUCAAACUAAUUGGACAGCCAAAGUAAUUGUAGUUAAAAAAACUCCUCCACGCCUAUCCAGAAAUUCUAUCAAAUAUCAUAAUUUGCUUCUAAUUGAUCCACAGGGAACCAUAUCGAAGCAACUAUUUACCAAGAUGAUAUUCAAGCCCUGCAUUAGACAUUGCACAUGACAAAAGCAUACGCAAUUUCUAAUGCCAAUGUCAAAGAUUGCAAACUGGACUACAAAAAAAUGGAGAUCUCCAAUGGGUCAUAACUGGAAAAGCUAAAAUUAAAGAACUUCAAGAAAAUUAUAAUGAUCUGUUGAUGUCUACUUACAACUUUGUGCCUCUAAGUAAUAUACAACAGUAUAUUGAUCUUCCAUCUAAAGAAAUUAACAUUCGUCCUAAACGUCAAAUACACAAUCGUCAUGGAGAAGCUACAAUUCAAGAACUUGUUCUUGUGGAUAAUGAGUUUAACAUAGCUACACUUACAAUGUGGAAUAAUUUUGUUGACAAUGAAUGCGCUGCAAUCUCAAACAUCAUUCAUAAGAAACCAAUUAUGAUUGGAACACGACUCAAAGCAUGUCAAUAUCCACAAAAAACUCAAGCUGCUUUUUAAUUGAGCCUCAGUUGGAAGUUGCUAAAGAUCUUCGUACCUAGAUAACUCGAAACAAUUGCAUCCUCAAUGAGAGGAUCACUCAAAAAGCAUAUCUUCUUCCUGCAACAACUCUUUCACCUCCUUCUUCUGAUCAAAUUACUGAUAUAAGGAAGAUACAUGAUAUGUUAAACAUGCAAACAAGUUUCUGGGUCAAAGCAAUUGCUAAAGUCACAAAUUAUGCCCAACCAUUUUGGUAUAUGGCAUGUCCCCUUUGUAACAGAAUCACUGAAUCUGAAUAUAGGGAAACUUUUCACUGUCUAUAUUGCAAAAACAAUGAACUCAAAGCAGUCCCUAGAGAUGCAGAAUAGAUGUUGAACUUACUGAUUCAUCAGCCUGGCUUACAGCAACUGUAUUUGGGGAAAUUGCAGAAACAUUGUUCUCAUGUAAUACAACAACACUGAUGAAUACCAAAAUUAAGGCAAGUGACAGCAUUUCUAACGAACUUCUCGAACUCCAUGACAACAAAGAGAUACUAGCUUACAUCAAGGCAAUAAAAUAAGACUCCACUGAAGGAUGAAAAUUCAACAUCACUUCAUUCCUUGAUACAACUCCACUCUCAAAUGAAGAAUUAAUCUCUAAUGCUUCAACUUCCCAUCCUAAUCCAACUCCACUUGUGACUCUUCCUGAAAAGAAACACAAAGUUACAGCUCACGAUGAAGAGAAGAAACAUGAAGCUACUCAUGAAGUUGGAAACAACCACAAGGCUUCUAAUGAAGAUCAGAUGCAGUGGAAAGCUUGGGUGUGCAUCUCUUCUAAAUAAGAUUGCUCUUUUGUUACUCUUUUGAAAAUUAUUUUGAAAGUUCCAUGAUGGAAUACAUAUGUAAAUACUAAAUAGGCCUUGUUGGAACUAUAUUAUAGGCUUCCACUCUUGAAAGCUCCAUCACUACUAGAUGGAAUGAAUAUGUAAAUAAAUAGGCUACAACUUAGGAACACCUUAACAAUCUUUUGAGUUCUAUUACAACUUGACAUGAAUCAUGUUGCAACAUUAAAAAUUUUGUCACCUUAAAUAA
Long non-coding RNA from Cannabis sativa, 2353 nucleotides. RefSeq lists it as uncharacterized. Lineage: Eukaryota; Viridiplantae; Streptophyta; Magnoliopsida; Rosales; Cannabaceae. The record is from RefSeq and is a predicted model, not a curated record. The transcript is spliced from 13 exons.